UUCAAUUGCCUGUUUUGCCAUCAGCUUGCCUCUCUAAGAAAGAGUUUCAGUAAAGUUGUUACCACACCAGAAUAUAUAUUUUCUCUCCUUGCAAGUCUUCCAAUCGGCACGAACUGUGCGAUUUAUAAUUUGUUAGAAAAGUCGAAAUACGAUCAACAUUAAAUUUCCAGGUCUCUUUUUUAGGAAUAAAAGAAGACUCUAAUUAAUUCUGACUAAAAAUACAAUUCUUAAGGUUAUUUUGGCUCGUUAUCUCUCCAAUGCUUAACUUUACAAAUUCUUCUGAACUGCAUUUUUUUACUUUAUUAAACCAUUUCGCCUUUUUCUGUCUUAAAAUUAGGUUGCGUUCGGUGCCGCACUUUGCCCGGCCGCAGAGCGUCACAACUCAGGGCGGAUCCGCGAAAGGCAGCAGGCCACUUUGCGUUGCGGCUGCUCAUUUUUCGUGAGUCAGAGCCGAGUGAGUGAAUUCGCGUGGCAUCCCGCGCUCCCUCGAGAGAGGACGCCAGCGCACCCCCUCCAUUCUACACUGAUUGAGCUGCAGCUUUAAUUUUGGAGAGGCUGUCGUGUUGUAUGCUUCCGCGAAUCAAAAGAAAGAGGCUCACUCCAGAUCCAGAUGGCGAAGAAAAGGACUUAGAUUUUGGAUAAACAUCAAACUACGGAUGAGAUGGAGGAGAUUUUAAGACAAGGUGAGGCUCAAGGUCAUCCAAAAGGUCCAGCGAAUCUUGGUUUCUUUCAGUUCGAAUCAGGCAAACAAAAUGCAAACAACGUGUUUGUUCUUGUCGUCCAUUACGAUUUCAAAAACACGACGAAAUUACGAAACUGUGAUGCGCGAGACGUAGAGAACCUGGAAGCGACAUUUGGAAAGAACCGAAACUGCAAUUUCCGCAGCCUUUA
Molecule: long non-coding RNA, 891 nt
Organism: Cloeon dipterum
Lineage: Eukaryota; Metazoa; Arthropoda; Insecta; Ephemeroptera; Baetidae
Exons: 5
Source: RefSeq, a predicted model, not a curated record